UACAGAGGUCUCAAGCGUUGUUCGGAUUCAUUGGGCGUAAAGGGUGUGUAGGUGGCGCGUUAAGUCGGGUGUGAAAUUUCGGAGCUUAACUCCGAAACUGCAUUCGAUACUGGCGUGCUUGAGGACUGGAGAGGAGACUGGAAUUUACGGUGUAGCAGUGAAAUGCAUAGAUAUCGUAAGGAAGACCAGUGGCGAAGGCGGGUCUCUGGACAGUUCCUGACGCUGAGGCACGAAGGCCAGGGGAGCAAACGGG
This 253-nucleotide ribosomal RNA is filed under the name uncultured bacterium. RNAcentral's name for it is "partial 16S ribosomal RNA". It matches the Rfam family "Bacterial small subunit ribosomal RNA", at positions 524 to 776 of the family's 1533-position model. The record is from RNAcentral.